This 449-nucleotide ribosomal RNA is filed under the name uncultured bacterium. RNAcentral describes it as "partial 16S ribosomal RNA". It matches the Rfam family "Bacterial small subunit ribosomal RNA", at positions 29 to 523 of the family's 1533-position model. The record is from RNAcentral.
AACGAACGCUGGCGGCAGGCUUAACACAUGCAAGUCGAACGGAUCCUUCGGGAUUAGUGGCGGACGGGUGAGUAGCACGUGGGAACGUGCCCUUUGGUUCGGAACAACUCAGGGAAACUUGAGCUAAUACCGGAUGUGCCCUUCGGGGGAAAGAUUUAUCGCCAUUGGAGCGGCCCGCGUCUGAUUAGCUAGUUGGUGAGGUAAAGGCUCACCAAGGCGACGAUCAGUAGCUGGUCUGAGAGGAUGAUCAGCCACAUUGGGACUGAGACACGGCCCAAACUCCUACGGGAGGCAGCAGUGGGGAAUCUUGCGUAAUGGGCGAAAGCCUGACGCAGCCAUGCCGCGUGAAUGAUGAAGGUCUUAGGAUUGUAAAAUUCUUUCACCGGGGACGAUAAUGACGGUACCCGGAGAAGAAGCCCCGGCUAACUUCGUGCCAGCCGCCGCUGUAA